AGCAGUGGGGAAUAUUGCACAAUGGGCGAAAGCCUGAUGCAGCCAUGCCGCGUGUGUGAAGAAGGCCUUCGGGUUGUAAAGCACUUUCAGUCAGGAGGAAAGGUUAGUAGUUAAUACCUGCUAGCUGUGACGUUACUGACAGAAGAAGCACCGGCUAACUCCGUGCCAGCAG
RNAcentral lists this ribosomal RNA (172 nucleotides) under uncultured Pseudoalteromonas sp. RNAcentral describes it as "partial 16S ribosomal RNA". It matches the Rfam family "Bacterial small subunit ribosomal RNA", at positions 350 to 514 of the family's 1533-position model. The record is from RNAcentral. Lineage: Bacteria; Pseudomonadati; Pseudomonadota; Gammaproteobacteria; Alteromonadales; Pseudoalteromonadaceae.